UUAAUUAAUUAAUGUUUGGUCCUACUAUCUAAAGAUUUUGUUGAAAAAAGUUCUCUCUUUUUAGGCCACAUUUUUCUUUAUCUAGCAAGGACACAUGAAAUGGCCCCAUUAAACAUAGAAGCAAAUAUAUUUCAAUUUAUAAAAUAUACUUAUAACAUUUAUUAAAAUGGCUUGUAAAAUAUAAAAUUAGUCUUUAAAAAUUGAUGGAAAAAUUGAGCCUCAUUCAAGUCUAUUUUAAUUAAAUAGAUGGUACAUACUUGAGUGAAAAAAAAUAUUUAACUUGUUCUUAAGAGUCUAUUUAAGAAGGAUUUUUAUACCAACUUGGAAAGGUUGACAAACCAAAAUGAUAACUGUUAAUUGAUUGCAGGGGUUUAGGCUGUGUUUUAUUCAUCAUUUAAUCUGGUGCCCUUUGCCUCUUCCUCACUGUUGUUCCUUGUAUGAUAUUUAUCUUAAAAUAUUGAAUCAGUAAGAGAAGUGUCAGAAGAUUACAGCUCAGUUCAUCUCAAACCACUGUGUAUCUCUACACGGACCUGCAAAACAGUCUUAAGUGAUGCCAUUAUAAAAAGGCCAGAGAGGAAAAGAAUUUAAGAAAGAAAAAAAAAAAAAUGCCCCUGGAUCCCUGGGUCCAGUCCUGCAGAAUUAAGUCCCAGAGGGUUCAAGCCUUUUGCAGCCCUGUCCAGUUUGUUUGAGAUAUUGAUCUGUGAAAUAUCCCAAUGCUAUCAGCAGCUUAUGGGGCCCAAAGUAUAAUAAUAGGGUAAAUUAUGUUUUCUUUUCCACAUCUGCACUCUGAGAUUGUUUUGGAGAUCUUUCAACUUUACUCAUUAUAAUCAAGUUGUACCAGCCUUUGUUUUAAUAAGAUUCUAAUCUCGAGGUCUAUCCUUCGCAUCAAUGACUUUACACUGUUAAUUGCUUUCUUGUCCUCCAUUAAAUUGCGGUUGCAAUUGCUUCAUCUUAACAGGCGAUUUGUGCUUUGUAUUCUGCCCCAUGCUCUGCAGACACACUUAGCAACAUCAUCUCCCUAAAGAACGAAAUUACCUAUUAUCCUUUUAAUUUUGAUGUACUUUUUUAUGUAUUUGGUUUCCAGCUAGUGUCCAACCAGGAAGCUACAUGUUAUCUUCUUUUAAAAAAAUGUUUUUUUUAAAAGCAGCAGAGUAUAGAUGGCCAGAAUUUAUUUCUAGAUAGAACUCACAUAGUACAUUCGUUUAUUGUUUUAUAGGACCAAUUAAAAAGACAAAGGGGUCUAUUCUCCCCUUGAUACACAAGAGUGACUUCCAUUAACAUUAAUGGAAGGGAAAUACUUGCAUGGAAAUGAGCACAGCCUUCGGAUUAGAAAGUGGGGGGAAAAAAAAAAGCAGAAUCUGGACUGAAUGGCUCCAUGUUUUUCUCUAGAGAAGCUACACAAAAAGCAAACAGCUCAAUUCGCAAAUGUGUUUUCCCCCUACGCUUUUGACUUGUUUGUAUAGUAAAGAAAAUCAGUGAAUAAUUUUGAGGCAGUUCCUUCCUCCACAGAUCAAUCGGAUGCGAAUUUGUUAUUCUAACACCAAUGACACAACUUAGAGAAGGAAUUCAGUAAUGAAAAGCAGCUGGAGGGUUUGACAGGUUUUUGCUGAAGCAGAGUCCUGUGAGACCUGCUUUUGGAGGCAGAGGUGAAAAGUAGGAAUUGGUUACCUGAAGAACUCUGUACACAGAAGCUUAAUUUCCAAGGGAGACGAGCUGUCCAUGUCAAGCUUAUCUUUUGACACGUCUUGCCUGAAAUCCAUCAAAAUCGGGAAACUGCUUCUGACUUCUCAGCGUAGCCUCUGAAUCCUGCGAUCCUCUUGGCUCUCUUGUACCUUAGGAAAGUUUUACACUGUCAGCCAAUAUAAUCUGACACCAGUUGAAGAAGUGUCUCUUUCAGCACGUCAUGUUUUGGUUAAUGGCCUAGGAGUUCAAUUAUUUAAAGUGUGACUAGGUCCCCGUGCCGUCAUCUCUUCUUAAAAAAUAUUGACACAUUCAUUUGCCAUCUGGGGAAUGUUGAGUUCAAAUUAGAUUUUAACCUUUGAAAACGUCGACUUAAAGAAUUCACAACCUGAAAGACCCGAAAGUUGAGAGUUAAGUUUUAUUUGGGGCAAAAUUAGGACUUAAGCCUGGAAGACAGCAUCUCAGGUAGCCCUGAGAAACCACUCCGAGGCGGGGAGGGAGGAGCUAGGAUAUAUAGGAGUUUUUGGAACCGAGGCCAGGGAGCCGCCACAAAAGAGGCCUGGGCUCUUUCAAAUCAUUCCUUUGAUAUGCACCUCUGCUAUCAGGGCCAGUAUCCUGUAGAACUCACCAGCUGUUACCCUUGGAGGUGACUGCAUUCACAGAUUAUCCUUAACUACCGCCUUGGGGCUGAAAUACCACCUAAGGAGGAAAAAGGGGAAUAUCAGGAUAUGAUAAAGGGGAGGGGAAGGUGCAUGCAGCCACACAUGCAUUUUACAAAAGUUUGCUGCUGAUCUCCUGAAGGUUAGUUGCUACCAGUUAGAAGGGGCAGACAUCACCACAAAGGAUUUUAGCGUUUUUCUAGAUAUGAGGAGAUGCAAGAAUUGGGCACAUAAAAUCUUCCCCUAAAAAUAUCUGACUAUCUGAAGACCUGUUCUUCCAGUUUUCCCAGCGCAGAGAGCGCCUCCCUCCUGCUGAUCACCCUGAGCUCCACUCAAGGGGGUGCUGCUAGUUGGCAGCUACGGUGGCUCAUGAUUUAAUCCAUGUAGAGGCUGAAGGCAAGGGCCAAACUUCAGUUCACAACACAUGCUUCAGAGAUAGAAGAAGCACUCUUCAGAAGAACAGCCCUCUCCUUGGUAUCUUUCAGUCUGUCCUCCACCUCCUUAGCCUGGACUUUGAUUUCCUAGAAAAACCAGGCUCACUAGCAUCAUUUUCUGCCUCGAGUCUCUCUCUUCCCAUGACGGUUGAGCCCUAUCUCUGGAAUGUUGCUACUAUUCGUACUGACCUGGAAGAGGCUUCUGAGAAGUUCCUAUUUUAAUUGUUUCCUUUCUUAGCUGUGACAAAUUCCCUGCUUCAGAGCAUUACCUGUAACUUUCUUGGGAGCCAAAUUUGUGCAGCCAGAGUUCCUUUUUUAGCUUAAAAUGUGACUGUAGCCCUGUCCUCUGUUUGUCACCUUUAAUACCCUCUCUUUUGUCUUGGCAUCCCUAAAGACAAAAGAGAGGGUCUGCUCUGGUCAGAAUUCCCUAAAGAAUCAUCUUUAUUUAUUGUUUUCUCACCAAACCCCACCUUUUCCCAUACUUGGUAUUGUGGAGUGGUUUGAGCAAUGUAUCCAAUGAAAACUGGUGUUGGGGCAAGUGGGGAUGACAAUGAGGAGGGUACCACAGCAUUUUAUUUUAACAUUAGUGUUUCUAAAAUGCUUUUGUUUCCCCUAACCUACUCCAGUGUGCUAGUUCAGAUCCCCUGAGGAGCCAGCACCAAGAUGAGAUUAGAUGUACAAGUGUUUUACUGGGGGAAAUGCUUGUGAAGGAUGCAGGGAGGAAGCAUGAGUGGGGAAAGAGAGCCUCAGACCUGGAUUACAUCUGACACCUGUGAGAGGGGUGCAGAAGGAAGAACGACUGGGUAGGCAUGAUGGGAUUCUAGGAAAGCUUUCCCCAGGCCAAUGGGAAAGUCCUGAAGAGGUCUCUUAUCGGGCAGGAAGCAGGCUGCCCUAGGACCCCCACCAAGCUCAGCACUGGCUGGGAGCAACCUGGCAGAAGCCUGGCAUCUGUGAACAUGGCGCUGGACCCAAGGGGUGGCCAUUGGGGCUGUCACACAACUGUGUAGGAGAUCUGACCAUCACCUUUCUGGGCCACCACACGCAGCUAUGUGUUCUCCCACUAGCAGUGAACGUGGUUGUUGCCCUUAGGGUAAGGUAUCAGCAAACUAUGAGAGCAGUCUGUCCCAUCUGGCCAGUCUCCCAGUACCAACUGCUGCUCCUUCGGGAAUCGUCAUGGAAUCACUGAGGGCCAUGGUAGAUGUUUCCUCCCCGAAAGCUUGGAAAUUGAUGAAAACCGUAUAUCAAUUAAAUAGCUGCAGGGCAAUGCUAUCGCCAAGACUGAAAAUCCAUUUCCUGUUCCUCAUUCCAAAUUAUGUAUAGCCUUGUUUCUAACAAAGCACGUGACAGGUUGUGGAGAUCAAACACCAUUAAGACACUUUAAUAACAGACUGCCAACGGAAAGGUGCCCUCAGUUGGACUAUAAACCCACUCAUGUUUUCAAACUCCUGGAAAGAAAUUUAAGUCCAAAUAUUUAUACUUUACAAAUUGAAACGCAAAGAAAA
This 4275-nucleotide long non-coding RNA is filed under the name Sus scrofa (pig). RNAcentral describes it as "lncRNA (ENSSSCG00060004286.1)". The record is from RNAcentral. Lineage: Eukaryota; Metazoa; Chordata; Mammalia; Artiodactyla; Suidae.